AAUCGGGGCAGGGUGAGUCGACCCCUAAGGCGAGGCCGAAAGGCGUAGUCGAUGGGAAACGGGUUAAUAUUCCCGUACUUGGUGUUACUGCGAAGGGGGGACGGAGAAGGCUAUGUUGGCCGGGCGACGGUUGUCCCGGUUUAAGCGUGUAGGCUGGUUUUCCAGGCAAAUCCGGAAAAUCAAGGCUGAGGCGUGACGACGAGGCACUACGGUGCUGAAGCAACAAAUGCCCUGCUUCCAGGAAAAGCCUCUAAGCAUCAGGUAACAUCAAAUCGUACCCCAAACCGACACAGGUGGUCAGGUAGAGAAUACCAAGGCGCUUGAGAGAACUCGGGUGAAGGAACUAGGCAAAAUGGUGCCGUAACUUCGGGAGAAGGCACGCUGACACGUAGGUGAAGUGAUUUACUCAUGGAGCUGAAGUCAGUCGAAGAUACCAGCUGGCUGCAACUGUUUAUUAAAAACACAGCACUGUGCAAACACGAAAGUGGACGUAUACGGUGUGACGCCUGCCCGGUGCCGGAAGGUUAAUUGAUGGGGUCAGCGCAAGCGAAGCUCCUGAUCGAAGCCCCGGUAAACGGCGGCCGUAACUAUAACGGUCCUAAGGUAGCGAAAUUCCUUGUCGGGUAAGUUCCGACCUGCACGAAUGGCGUAAUGAUGGCCAGGCUGUCUCCACCCGAGACUCAGUGAAAUUGAACUCGCUGUGAAGAUGCAGUGUACCCGCGGCAAGACGGAAAGACCCCGUGAACCUUUACUAUAGCUUGACACUGAACAUUGAGCCUUGAUGUGUAGGAUAGGUGGGAGGCUUUGAAGUGUGGACGCCAGUCUGCAUGGAGCCAACCUUGAAAUACCACCCUUUAAUGUUUGAUGUUCUAACGUGGACCCGUAAUCCGGGUUGCGGACAGUGUCUGGUGGGUAGUUUGACUGGGGCGGUCUCCUCCUAAAGAGUAACGGAGGAGCACGAAGGUUGGCUAAUCCUGGUCGGACAUCAGGAGGUUAGUGCAAUGGCAUAAGCCAGCUUGACUGCGAGCGUGACGGCGCGAGCAGGUGCGAAAGCAGGUCAUAGUGAUCCGGUGGUUCUGAAUGGAAGGGCCAUCGCUCAACGGAUAAAAGGUACUCCGGGGAUAACAGGCUGAUACCGCCCAAGAGUUCAUAUCGACGGCGGUGUUUGGCACCUCGAUGUCGGCUCAUCACAUCCUGGGGCUGAAGUAGGUCCCAAGGGUAUGGCUGUUCGCCAUUUAAAGUGGUACGCGAGCUGGGUUUAGAACGUCGUGAGACAGUUCGGUCCCUAUCUGCCGUGGGCGCUGGAGAACUGAGGGGGGCUGCUCCUAGUACGAGAGGACCGGAGUGGACGCAUCACUGGUGUUCGGGUUGUCAUGCCAAUGGCACUGCCCGGUAGCUAAAUGCGGAAGAGAUAAGUGCUGAAAGCAUCUAAGCACGAAACUUGCCCCGAGAUGAGUUCUCCCUGAGACUUAAAGUCUCCUGAAGGAACGUUGAAGACGACGACGUUGAUAGGCCGGGUGUGUAAGCGCAGCGAUGCGUUGAGCUAACCGGUACUAAUGAACCGUGAGG
RNAcentral lists this ribosomal RNA (1569 nucleotides) under Salmonella enterica. Its description in RNAcentral is "partial 23S ribosomal RNA". It matches the Rfam family "Bacterial large subunit ribosomal RNA", at positions 1367 to 2915 of the family's 2925-position model. The record is from RNAcentral. Lineage: Bacteria; Pseudomonadati; Pseudomonadota; Gammaproteobacteria; Enterobacterales; Enterobacteriaceae.